UGACCUCAUGGUGCAACGGCUAGCAUAGGAGACUUUUAAUCUCCUGACGAGGGUUCGAUUUCCUUUGAGGGCGU
RNAcentral lists this transfer RNA (74 nucleotides) under Ktedonobacter sp. SOSP1-85. Its description in RNAcentral is "tRNA-Lys". It matches the Rfam family "tRNA". Rfam says of the family: Transfer RNA (tRNA) molecules are approximately 80 nucleotides in length. Their secondary structure includes four short double-helical elements and three loops (D, anti-codon, and T loops). Lineage: Bacteria; Bacillati; Chloroflexota; Ktedonobacteria; Ktedonobacterales; Ktedonobacteraceae. The record is from RNAcentral.